RNAcentral lists this ribosomal RNA (488 nucleotides) under uncultured bacterium. RNAcentral describes it as "bacterial SSU rRNA". It matches the Rfam family "Bacterial small subunit ribosomal RNA", at positions 19 to 518 of the family's 1533-position model. The record is from RNAcentral.
AUGGCUCAGGAUGAACGCUGGCGGCGCGCCUAACACAUGCAAGUCGAACGGUUAAAGCCCCUUCGGGGGUGCAUAAAGUGGCGAACGGCUGAGUAACACGUGGGCAACCUGCCCCCCGCUUCGGGAUAGCCUCGGGAAACCGUGGGUAAUACCGGAUACUCCGCCCACCCCGCAUGGGGAGGGCGGGAAAGCGCAUACGGCGGGGGAUGGGCCCGCGGCCUGUUAGCUCGUUGGCGGGGUAACGGCCCACCAAGGCUAUUAUGGGUAGCCGGGUUGAGAGACCGACCGGCCAGAUUGGGACUGAGACACGGCCCAGACUCCUACGGGAGGCAGCAGUGGGGAAUCUUGCACAAUGGGCGAAAGCCUGAUGCAGCCGACGCCGCGUGCGGGAUGAAGGCCCUCGGGUUGUAAACCGCUUUCAGCAGGGACGAGGCGCAAGUGACGGUACCUGCAGAAGAAGCCCCGGCUAACUACGUGCCAGCAGCCGC